RNAcentral lists this ribosomal RNA (497 nucleotides) under uncultured bacterium. RNAcentral describes it as "partial 16S ribosomal RNA". It matches the Rfam family "Bacterial small subunit ribosomal RNA", at positions 28 to 507 of the family's 1533-position model. The record is from RNAcentral.
GACGAACGCUGGCGGCGUGCCUAAUACAUGCAAGUCGAGCGCUGAAGGAUGGUACUUGUACCAACUGGAUGAGCAGCGAACGGGUGAGUAACGCGUGGGGAAUCUGCCUUUGAGCGGGGGACAACAUUUGGAAACGAAUGCUAAUACCGCAUAAAAACUUUAAACACAAGCUUUAAGUUUGAAGGAUGCCAUUGCAUCACUCAAAGAUGAUCCCGCGUUGUAUUAGCUAGUUGGUGAGGUAAAGGCUCACCAAGGCGAUGAUACAUAGCCGACCUGAGAGGGUGGUCGGCCACAUUGGGACUGGGGCACGGCCCAAACUCCUUCGGGAGGCAGCAGUAGGGAAUCUUCGGCCAUGGACGAAAGUCUGACCGAGCAACGCCGCGUGAGUGAAGAAGGGUUUCGGAUCGUAAAACUCUGUUGGUAGAGAAGAACGUUGGUGAGAGUGGAAAGCUCAUCAAGUGACGGUAACUACCCAGAAAGGGACGGCUAACUACGUG